UUCCUGUGAUGGUUAACUUUAUGUGCCAACUUGGCUGGGCCACAGGCAUUUGGAA
Molecule: small nucleolar RNA, 55 nt
Filed under: Ursus americanus (American black bear)
Lineage: Eukaryota; Metazoa; Chordata; Mammalia; Carnivora; Ursidae
Also listed under: 2 other names
Description: Small nucleolar RNA SNORD66
Rfam family: Small nucleolar RNA SNORD66
About the family: snoRNA HBII-142 is part of the C/D family of snoRNAs.
Source: Rfam by way of RNAcentral